GACCAGAGGCAAUGGUGGACUUACGAAUCGUGUCAGGUUCGGAAGAAAGCAGCACUAAGUAUGUUCUGUCAUGUGCCUUUUAUAUGA
Molecule: signal recognition particle RNA, 87 nt
Filed under: Bombilactobacillus mellifer
Lineage: Bacteria; Bacillati; Bacillota; Bacilli; Lactobacillales; Lactobacillaceae
Also listed under: 1 other name
Description: Lactobacillus mellifer Bacterial small signal recognition particle RNA
Rfam family: Bacterial small signal recognition particle RNA
About the family: The signal recognition particle (SRP) is a universally conserved ribonucleoprotein involved in the co-translational targeting of proteins to membranes. Archaeal SRP consists of a 7S RNA and homologues of the eukaryotic SRP19 and SRP54 proteins. In most bacteria, the SRP consists of a 4.5S RNA and the Ffh protein (a homologue of the eukaryotic SRP54 protein).
Source: Rfam by way of RNAcentral